This 468-nucleotide ribosomal RNA is filed under the name uncultured bacterium. RNAcentral's name for it is "partial 16S ribosomal RNA". It matches the Rfam family "Bacterial small subunit ribosomal RNA", at positions 28 to 507 of the family's 1533-position model. The record is from RNAcentral.
GACGAACGCUGGCGGCGUGCUUAACACAUGCAAGUCGAACGGAAAGGCCCUGCUUUUGUGGGGUGCUCGAGUGGCGAACGGGUGAGUAACACGUUAGUAACCUGCCCUUGACUUUGGUAUAACUUCAGGAAACUGGGGCUAAUACCGGAUAGGAGCUCCUGCUGCAUGGUGGGGGUUGGAAAGUUUCGGCGGUUGGGGAUGGACUCGCGGCUUAUCAGCUUGUUGGUGGGGUAGUGGCUUACCAAGGCUUUGACGGGUAGCCGGCCUGAGAGGGUGACCGGCCACAUUGGGACUGAGAUACGGCCCAGACUCCUACGGGAGGCAGCAGUGGGGAAUAUUGCACAAUGGGCGGAAGCCUGAUGCAGCAACGCCGCGUGCGGGAUGACGGCCUUCGGGUUGUAAACCGCUUUCGCCUGUGACGAAGCGUGAGUGACGGUAAUGGGUAAAGAAGCACCGGCUAACUACGUG